ACGGGAGGCAGCAGUAAGGAAUUUUCGGCAAUGGGCGCAAGCCUGACCGAGCAACGCCGCGUGAGUGAUGAAGGUCUUCGGAUCGUAAAGCUCUGUUGUAAAGGAAGAAUGUUAUAUUGAGGAAAUGCGAUAUAAGUGACGGUACUUUACCAGAAAGUCACGGCUUACUACGUGCCAGCAGCCGCGGUAAUACGUAGGUGGCAAGCGUUAUCCGGAUUUAUUGGGCGUAAAGGGUGCGCAGGCGGUUUGUUAAGUUUGAGGUUAAAGCGUUGGGCUCAACCCAAUCCAGCCUCGAAUACUGGCAGACUAGAGUGCAGAAGAGGGUAAUGGAACUCCAUGUGUAGCGGUAAAAUGCGUAGAUAUAUGGAAGAACACCAGCGGCGAAGGCGGUUACCUGGUCUGUAACUGACGCUCAGGCACGAAAGCGUGGGGAGCAAAUAGGAUUAGAUACCCUGGUA
RNAcentral lists this ribosomal RNA (458 nucleotides) under uncultured Erysipelotrichaceae bacterium. RNAcentral's name for it is "bacterial SSU rRNA". It matches the Rfam family "Bacterial small subunit ribosomal RNA", at positions 341 to 792 of the family's 1533-position model. Lineage: Bacteria; Bacillati; Bacillota; Erysipelotrichia; Erysipelotrichales; Erysipelotrichaceae. The record is from RNAcentral.